This 328-nucleotide unclassified non-coding RNA is filed under the name soil metagenome. Its description in RNAcentral is "partial contains 5.8S ribosomal RNA, internal transcribed spacer 2, and large subunit ribosomal RNA". The stretch from base 1 to 120 matches the Rfam family "5.8S ribosomal RNA", at positions 35 to 154 of the family's 154-position model. The record is from RNAcentral.
GAUGAAGAACGCAGUGAAAUGCGAUAAGUAAUGUGAAUUGCAGAAUUCAGUGAAUCAUCGAAUCUUUGAACGCACAUUGCGCCCCUUGGUAUUCCGAGGGGCAUGCCUGUUCGAGCGUCAUUAUAACCCUCAAGCUCAGCUUGGUGUUGGGGCCUGCUGCACUGGCAGCCCUUAAAAUCAGUGGCGGCGCCAUCUGGCUCUAAGCGUAGUAAUUCUUCUCGCUAUGGAGUCCUGGUGGAUGCUUGCCAUCAACCCCCAAUUUUUCUAUGGUUGACCUCGGAUCAGGUAGGGAUACCCGCUGAACUUAAGCAUAUCAAUAAGCGGAUGA